AUGAUGAUUUUGCUUCAUUAUGGUUAGAAUCUGAAUGAUUACAUGUAGAUUCUUUCUAGGGCGGUCUGAGGUA
Small nucleolar RNA from Nilaparvata lugens (brown planthopper), 73 nucleotides. RefSeq annotates it as small nucleolar RNA U43. Lineage: Eukaryota; Metazoa; Arthropoda; Insecta; Hemiptera; Delphacidae. The transcript has a single exon. The record is from RefSeq and is a predicted model, not a curated record.